This 496-nucleotide ribosomal RNA is filed under the name uncultured bacterium. Its description in RNAcentral is "partial 16S ribosomal RNA". It matches the Rfam family "Bacterial small subunit ribosomal RNA", at positions 29 to 507 of the family's 1533-position model. The record is from RNAcentral.
AUGAACGCUGGCGGCGUGCCUCAUACCUGCCAGUCGAGCGAACGGACGAGAAGCUUGCUUCUCUGAUGUUAGCGGCGGACGGGUGAGUAACACGUGGAUAACCUACCUAUAAGACUGGGAUAACUUCGGGAAACCGGAGCUAAUACCGGAUAAUAUUUUGAACCGCAUGGUUCAAAAGUGAAAGACGGUCUUGCUGUCACUUAUAGAUGGAUCCGCGCUGCAUUAGCUAGUUGGUAAGGUAACGGCUUACCAAGGCAACGAUGCAUAGCCGACCUGAGAGGGUGAUCGGCCACACUGGAACUGAGACACGGUCCAGACUCCUACGGGAGGCAGCAGUAGGGAAUCUUCCGCAAUGGGCGAAAGCCUGACGGAGCAACGCCGCGUGAGUGAUGAAGGUCUUCGGAUCGUAAAACCCUGUUAUUAGGGAAGAACAUAUGUGUAAGUAACUGUGCACAUCUUGACGGUACCUAAUCAGAAAGCCACGGCUAACUACGUG